Molecule: long non-coding RNA, 2129 nt
Filed under: Nasonia vitripennis (jewel wasp)
Lineage: Eukaryota; Metazoa; Arthropoda; Insecta; Hymenoptera; Pteromalidae
Description: uncharacterized LOC116418363
Source: RNAcentral
ACACAAGAUAGGGCAGCGUGGAAGGCUUGCGUAGAUGAGGCGAUGAACUUUCGAGUUCCAAAUGCCAUGUAAAAAAAAAAAAAUGUACUACUCUAUCACGUCACUUAAAUAAAAACCUUUGGUCAUAGAUGUUAAAAUACAUUAAUAAUAUAAAUAAAUUAAUAGAAUCAGUGUUCUGAUCGACAGUACACUCAAUCUCGCGUACGUAUAUGCGCCUCCGCAUCACAGCCUUAAAAGAUUUAAGCGACGGGAGAUCUCUCACGUCGCGCGGGAGAGAAUUCCAGAGGCGCGCGCCCUGGACUUUAAAGGAAAAUAGCCCCGCAUCGGUAUAGCCCCGCAUCGGUACGCGCAGUUCUUGCGGGUCCCUAGCUGAGGUUCUAGACUGGUUCCUAUCAAAAAGGGCAGCAAGAUACGGCGGCUGUUCCAUUACAAUUGCUUUAUAAAGCAUCACCGCCGCGAAUAACACCCUUCUUGUCUUCACUGGAACCCAGCCUAUCUUCCUCCUAUAGGGGGAGAUGUGCUCGUCCCUUCUAGCACCACAUAUGUAUCUCACACAUGAGUUCUGCAAUCGUUGAAGUCGUGUGCUUUGUUGACCUGAUACGUCAAGGUAGACAAGAGAGCAGUAAUCCAAGUGCGGGGUGGCAAGAGUGCACGCCAGCUGCUUACGCAGUUCCUCGGUGGUGCAGGAUCUAAAGAAUCUAAGUCCAUAAAGGACUCUAUUAACCUUUCAGCUAAUCGCAUCCACCUGCGGUUUCCAUGUCAUCUUCGAAUCCAUUACAACACCAAGGUUGGUUACAGUGUCUGCAAAGGGUACGAAGACGCCAUCCGCGAUCUCAAUGCCAGGCAGCUUUAGACUUUGCACCUUGUUAAUAUUACUGUUCGACCCAAAAAUAAUAGCUUUAGUCUUCCCGACAUUGAGGCGAAGCGCGUUCUCGGACGCCCAUACCGCCACUGCACGCGCCACAGCCGACAGACGGUCCACACCCCUGCUCAAGUCGUCCCUCGCCACCUGCGUAUAGGUUUGAAGUGCCGCAACCACCGAAUGCUACUUUGCAACAAUUGGCGCCGCGACGAUCGCCGACAGCUGACCCGCCUCGACGAUCCCCGGUGGCUGACCCGCCGCGUCGAUCGCCGACAGCUGUCCCGCCUCGUCGAUCUCCGGCGACUGACCUGCCUCAACGAUCCCCGGCGGCUGACUCGCCGCAGCGAUCCCCAGCUGCUAACUCGUCUGGACGAUCCCCAAUGGCUGAGCAGCCUCGGGGAUCACCGACGGCUGAGCAGCCUCGGCAAUCUUCGGCGACCCGAAAAAGACGGUCUCGCUCGAGCUCGAGUUCGAGUUGAAGCUCGAGCUCUAGUUCGAGUUCGAGUUGAAGCUCGAGCUCUAGUUCGAGUUCGAGUUGAAGCUCGAGCUCUAGUUCGAGUUCGAGUUGAAGCUCGAGCUCUAGUUCGAGCUCCAGUUCAAGCGGAACAUCAUCCAGUUGCACAUCGUGCAAAUCCGUUAAAAGUAUACGCGAUCUCAAGCGGAUUCCUAAAAUUACAUCCUCGAAUAUGAAGAGAAAAGCAAAUGAACAAGAAGGCAACGAGCAGAAGAAGAAGAAGGCAGGAGAGAGAGAGAGAGAGACGUCACCAAAACCAGGAACAUCUACAAUGACAUCAGAGGUUACGAGACCAGUAACGAGACGUGGCAUUUUACAAUUGAAAAGGACAGACAGUCAACAGCAGCAGCAACAGCAGCAGCAAUAGCUGCAAUAUCAACAACAGCAGCAACAGCAGCAACAGCAGUAACAGCAGCAGCAACAGCAACAGCAGCAACAACAGCAACAGCGACCACAGCAACAACAACGCAAUUUACCAAGGAUUAUAGAUGAUGAGAUAAUAAUAGAUCAUGUAAACGUAAAUAAAAUUUACAAAACUUAUAAAAAAAAAUAAAUUUAAAGAACUGUGAACACCUCACCAUUAAUUAAAACUUUGAAUUCCGGAAAAUUCCCGCCAGCGCUGACCGUUGGUUAACUGAAGCUGAUGCGCAUGCGCGUCCGGUUAACCUACGACGGACACUGGCGGGAGUUUUCCCAAAUUCAGUUUUAUUUAACGAUAGGUGUACAAAAUUUUAAUUUUUCUAAAAAAAACAA